This is a long non-coding RNA of Homo sapiens (human), 2170 nucleotides long. Ensembl annotates it as long intergenic non-protein coding RNA 2649. The record is from Ensembl. NCBI's taxonomy places the organism in Eukaryota, Metazoa, Chordata, Mammalia, Primates, Hominidae.
UCAUCUCUUGGAGGGGUCCUGAUUAGGCGGACAGGCUUCUGUGUGGAGGGCUGGAAAGCUUGGCUGAACUUUUCGGUAAAGAACACAGAGAUAUGGAGUUACCAGUAAGGAGCUCCACCGUGACUCUCCUCCCUGCUCCGUUGCCCCGACGAGGAAGUGUGAAAACGUUUCUGGCUCCAUCCAAGAGUUACUUCCCUGAAGAAGAGAGGGCUUUGUUGAAGUCUUCCCAUGCUUUCUGCACAGGGCUCUGGCCUUGGAGAAGGGAUUUCCAGUUACCGCAGUGUCACUUGGCCCUGGGUCUCCUCCCGGGAGAGAGAAGUGUACGGCUCCCAAGGUUCCUGGCAGUUUUGAAAGAGCUCUCAGCCACAGCCAGCUUUACUUUGGCAAGUGAGGCCAUCCCCUUUCUUUCCUCCUUUCCUUUCCCAUGGAACCUACUCCUUCCAUCUGUCUUUCAAGCUCUGCCUCAGAAAUGGCAAUUCAAGGCUGAUUUUCUCCUUGAAUGCACUCUCUCUGUGAAAGAGGCUUUUCACCAAGAAUGUGGUGCUGGUGUUUCUCUUGCCAAUGGGCUAAACAAAGGCCUCCGCACCGGGUAACAUUUGGGCAGGCCUCUUCACACAUGCCUGUCCUUCUCCGUCGCACUUGGCUAAAGCCAACAACCUAUGUGUGAAAAGUAUAAAGAGAUGGAAAAAUUCCCAUGAAAAAUCCUUCCGCAAAGCAAUUGCGAGACAACUAUGGCGUCAUCUGAUAACAUGAUUUCUAUUUUGCAUCUGUUCCAUUGUUGGAGGGCACUCAUAGUUGCAAGCCUUGCAUGUACAUAUGUAAAAAUUAUAAGUGAAUGCAUCUGCUCAGGUUAUUAGCCACUGAUUGUGAAAUAAUCUGAAGUUUGAGAGUCUCAGUUAAUAACCUAUAGGUGCUGAGAGCAUUCAAAGACCCAAUAGCAUAAGUAUUAAUCACCUCUUUUCUCCAGAGUAGCAAAUAAGAAACCAGGAAGAGCUCAGUUUCACUUCCAACUUGUUCUUUAAGGGCCUCAGAGUUGAUAGUUGUCCUCAUCUGGGCUCCCUAAUGCCACGACAAAUCAACUAGAAAAGAAAUAUGCCCCAAAUCAGCACCCAAACACGCUGGUGCCAGCCUGUGUCCAUGUUCCUGCAACAGCUGCUGCCCACGGGGUAGGACUGAGCCAGGUCUAAGAUUAGCAGUGUCCCAGCUCCUCAGGUUCCUGCACAUUGACUCACAACGGAAUCAAAACUCGGGAGCUCAACUCUCUGGUUUCUUCUGCUUUCUCUUCUGCAAUUUUCUUUCUUUUUUUUUUUUUUAACUUUAUUUUACUGGCAACCAUGAAAGAGAUAUUUACAGCAAGACUCAGAGCAAGGUCAGAGACCCCUAAACAGGUGGUUUUCCCUUAACUUAUCAGGCUGGAGCAGAGUUUAAACCAAACUAGAGGAAUCCCUCUAGCUCUGGGCACAAUGUAAUCUCUACAUCCUGGCCUUCAUCGCAUUGGCUGGAAGCUGGUUGGCUUCAUCCAAGGGCCUACUUCGAGGGGAUUCAUGCCUCUGCAAGUUUGAGCAUCCCUCACUCCUGGCGCUGGCGGUGCCACUCAGCCACGGACUGGAGCAUCCACUUGGUCUGGAGCUUGUACAAAUAGUAGCCAUAAACCACGACUUUGGUGAGGUCUGAAGACUCCAGAGGCUUCAGCUCGAGCAUGGCCUUGCUCACCAGCUCAAUGUAAGGGAUUCCUCCCUCGCCAACCUCCAGAGAGUUAAAGACAUCUCUACCACCCGGUGGAGAAGAAAGCUGACCACUGGUGUGCUUCCAGAAUGCGAGAAGCUCUUGAAGCCCAACAUUCCCUUUCAGUGAUAUUACUGACAUUUUCCCAAAGCUGUGUUCUUCAGAGCUGCACAUGGCAUUGUUAACAACUAUUUCUUAAAAACAUUUCUUUUAGAGACGGGAUUUUGCCAUGUUGGCAGGUUGGUCUCAAACUUUUGGGCUCAAGAGAUCCACCCUCCUCAGCUUCCCAAAGUGCUGGGAUUAACAGGCCUGAGCACUGCGCAACAACUAUUGAAACCCUUGUGAGUUAAUUGGAUAAUUUUGCCUUUUUCUAAACCUUUGAGUUGAGACUCCUUUAUCACUCUCAUUUCCAGCACCUCAGUCUUCCUUUUUCCUUCCCAUCACC